UCGAACUUAGUGAUAGCUGGUUGCUUGCGAAAGGAAUCUUAGUUCAACCUAGAGUCACCCCAAUACCUUAAAUAACCCCAAGACUCUAGAGCUAUUCAAAUAAGGUACAGCCUAUUUGAAACAGGAUACAACCUAGACUAACGGGCAAUUUCACAUCUAAGGCAGCCUAGUGGGCCUAAGAGCAGCCACCUUAAAACAGCGUCAAACCUUAACUGUCCAUUCACCCCAAUUUCAAACCCCACAACAAACCCUUUACCCAUACCAAGCACUUCUAUGCCUUCCCAUAGAAAAUUUUAUGUUAAAACUAGUAACAAGAAGAAAACCAUUCUCUAUAAUGCAAAUUUAAAUCAGAAAGGACCCACCACUGAUACUUACACAGCCCUAAGCCCAUAGUAGUAACCCAACAGGAAAAACCUACUCCGCUACUCUGUUAACCUAACACAAGAGCAUUACAAGAAAGAUUAAAAGAAAAAGAAGGAACUCGGCAAACACUAGCCCCGCCUGUUUACCAAAAACAUCGCCUCUUGACAAAAAUAAGAGGUCCAGCCUGCCCAGUGACAUCAGUUUAACGGCCGCGGUAUCCUAACCGUGCGAAGGUAGCGUAAUCACUUGUUUUUUAAAUAAAGACUAGUAUGAAAGGCAUCACGAGGGUCAAACUGUCUCCUUUCUCCAAUCAGUGAAACUAAUCUUCCCGUGAAGAAGCGGGAAUUAAUCUAUAAGACGAGAAGACCCCAUGGAGCUUUAAACUUACGGCAAUUGCCCUUACUUUUAUACUUCUCAUGAACAUAAACACCCGGCGCUUUGACUAAGAGUUUUAGGUUGGGGCGACCGCGGAGUAAAACUCAACCUCCAUGUUGUAUAAAAUUUUUUUACCAAAAAGCCACACCUUUAAGGAUCAACAAAUUGACAUUUAUUGACCCACCUGUAUGAUCAACGAACCAAGUUACCCUGGGGAUAACAGCGCAAUCCACUUCGAGAGCUCAUAUCGACAAGUGGGCUUACGACCUCGAUGUUGGAUCAGGGUAACCCAGUGGUGCAGCAGCUACUUAAGGUUCGUUUGUUCAACGAUUAAAUCCCUACGUGAUCUGAGUUCAGACCGGAGUAAUCCAGGUCAGUUUCUAUCUAUAAAGAGAUCUUCCUAGUACGAAAGGAUCGGAAAAUCGUGGCCUACUAAUCGCUCGAGCCAUAACAGCUAUUCAUGACACCAACUCAAAAAAUAUUAUGCCU
RNAcentral lists this ribosomal RNA (1227 nucleotides) under Strabomantis biporcatus (Puerto Cabello robber frog). RNAcentral describes it as "partial large subunit ribosomal RNA". It matches the Rfam family "Bacterial large subunit ribosomal RNA", at positions 833 to 2925 of the family's 2925-position model. The record is from RNAcentral. Lineage: Eukaryota; Metazoa; Chordata; Amphibia; Anura; Strabomantidae.